GCGCAUGUACGGGGCUGUGCAUUGGCGUACGGAGGUGUGGGUGCGGCUGUGGUGCCAGGAGGCCGUACGGCGUUGUGGGUUGGAGCCUGGCUGCGGCGCUAGAGGUAAAAACCCUAGGGUUUCUAUUUCUAAAGUGUUUUGGGAUGUUUGGGCCGAUGUAAUUUUAGGCUAUAAUUGGUAUUAAUUUUGGGUUUGUAAUGUUUUGCGUUUUGGGUUAUGUAGUUUGGACUUUGAUGGACUAUUAAUUAGCUUUAUUACGGGCUCGGGCAGAUUUGGGCUUAUACAAUUGCCCCUCUUUACUUAGUGUCGUGUAACGAGAAUAGAGCAAAAACUUUAAAGAUGACCAAUUUUGCCCGGUCUCACCGAAUCAUAACUUCUUUGGUGCUCUUUUUCUCUGAGGUAGCUUUGUUCCAAUCCUCUGCAACUUCAGGGGUAUAGGAAUUGUCGCUCUAAUCCACUCCACUGUAACUCUAGAGAGACUAGCCUUGUAGCUUUUAAUCUUCUCUACUGCAACUGCUCCACUGCAACUUUAGGGAGAUAAAGUUUGCGCAUUUUUAUCCUGCUCUACUGCAACUUCAGAGAGAUAAGGAUUGCGGCUCCGAUCUGCUCUACUGCAACUUCAGAGGGAUAAGAUCUGCUAUUUUCAGUUUGCUCCAUUGCAACUGCUCCACUGCAACUUCAGGGAGAUAAAACUUGUAAUUUUCAGCCUGUUACCCUACUGCUUAGGGGGUUAAGGCUCACCGUCUUUGAUUUGCUCCACUACUGCUUAGGGAGACAAGAUCUACAAUCUUCGGCCUGUUACCCUACUACUUAGGAGGUUAAGGCUCAUUGUCUUCGAUUCGCUCCACUAAUGCUUAGGAAGAUAAGAUCUGUGAAUUCACCGAUGUUGUUGCAUCGUCCUCUAGGGACAUGAUCUGUAGAAUCGGUUUCAUACACCUAUGCUUAUACCAAA
This 952-nucleotide long non-coding RNA is filed under the name Gossypium barbadense (sea-island cotton). RNAcentral's name for it is "long non-coding RNA (GBAR_LNC011671)". Lineage: Eukaryota; Viridiplantae; Streptophyta; Magnoliopsida; Malvales; Malvaceae. The record is from RNAcentral.